UUUUCUUAAAUGAGAAUAAUGUAACCGCUAUAUAUGACCAGCUCUGUAUGAUGUAUUCUAUAUGUCUUUCUGUCCACAUACACUUUUGAUUGAGGAAGUUUCCCAGAGAAGCUAAUGGGAAAUUAGCCUUUGGAUGAAGAUUUUUACAAAGAAUUAUGCAUAGUAAAUAUAGUAAUUCCUAAUUUGUAAAAAUGACUUUCAAAUAAACAAUUUAGCUAUGUGUCUAAGGAGCAACUUCUUUAAUUGCCCUGUGAUAAACAACGAGUGAAACCCACAUCUGGAUCACAGACAGCAGUAAAAUCUGUCAAUAAAACCAAUAUCGCUAUGCCUCACCAGCUCUGCUCACUUGUUGGACGGCUGAAAGCAGAAUUUUAAUGGGGAAUUAUUUGAAAGAUAUUUAGGCUUGCUGGAACACGUCUCGGCUUGUAUGAUAUGAUUUGGUGAUUUUUUUUUUUUUUUUUUUUGAUCCUUCAAAGCUACGCAUUAAGGAGCAGAGCCCAAUCAAAAAUAUUUAGGUGAAAAGUUUCCUCCUUUGAAGAUGGAGGUGUCGGAAAGGAGGACCCAGCCAGGAUUAUCAGAGCUCGGAUCAAAUGUUGAUUGUGCCUGUUUCUUGUGUAAGAACAUUGCGUACUCUGGCCCGGUUUGAUUACCAUCUAAUUAGGCUAAACUUCACUUGAAGUUGGUAAAUACUUUCAUCACGGUAGGGCUCUUGGCUUCCUUAUGAUGUUCAUUAUUAUUAAACAUUUUCUUCCAUUCAAUUUGCUGAACUCUUAAUCUAUUAGGUUAUUUAAACAUCACCCGGAUUUGUAUGGAUGAGAAUUACCACGAUUUUCUACUCAAGGUGGGAGAUUGAACAUCCUUAAAUUAUCUUUCAGGAAGCCACAAUCCAAGAUGAAGACCCAGAGAGGAGUGCGAAUCCUGCCCUUUCCACAGGAGCUUGGUGGGGCUGAAGGUCACAGUGGGCUGGCCUCUCCUUACUGCAGCAGCCAGGCACAUGACUCAGAGUAUCCCUUGGCAUGGCUACAAGGAUUGGUUCAGAAACGGGCACAUGGACCAGUUUCAGCCAAACCCUGACGGCCUCCUCUGAAAUGUUUCGGUUGGAGUUUGCCAUUUUCUUCUGGAGUUGCUACACAGAGAGGCUGGGGCUGGCAGCCAUGGAAGUCACCUUGGAGGGACACAGGCUGAAGAAGGAAGCCAAGCUAGAUCAGAAGAGAGCUCACAUCUUAUACUGAGGAUGUGACAGGCCCCAGGACCUGACGGAACCACGCAAAUGUGGGAAAGAGCAUUUGAAGUGACAGACACCAAGCACCUGCCCCGUUUUUGGAAAGCAGAUUGUAAGUUGGAAAUUGUCUGCACUUUCAAGGAAGGAAAAAUUCGCAGUCUUUCCAGAUUCUCUGGUACCUGCUCCAUCCACGUCUUAGCCUCAGACCUGCUGGCAUGCAGAUCACCUCUUGCAAAGUGACACAGGUGCAGGGGUUCCUGGUGCAACUGUUCUGACCCAACUGAAAGCUGAAAGAGUUAGGGCUCACCCAGAAACUCUCUCCUGGCUCUGCUUCUUCCAUCCAGGACCUUGCUAGGUAACUCCAGAGGAAUUGAGAAAUUGCCAGGGAGUGGAAUCAAUAGCAGGACAAAACCUUCACGUUGGGAAUGCUUUGAAGCUUUCCUCUGCAGCUCAGCAAUGCCCUUCCCUCUCACACGUUGAUGGUGAUGCCAGAGGAGGGGGUGUUGUAAUCAGCCUUCUAACAGCAAGAAGAGAUUAAUACUACCUGCCGUAGGGGAGGCUUCGCAGGGAAUUCGGCAUGACCAGUUCAACAAAGACUUUUUGGAUCAGUCUGUAUGUUUACACAAUCCCUUUUUGUUUUCAUUCCUUAAUCGUACACAACUGCAUACCCAGUUCCCUUUUGGAAAUGUAGAGAAGCAAUCUUCUUUCCUUUCUUUACUGUUAAAAAUGUAUACCUGUAUAAUUUUAAUGUGCUUGUCCUGUAUCUUAUACAAUUUUGCAUGUAUUGCCUCUGAGUUUAGGCAUUCCUAGAAUUCCUGAUACGGGCCAAUUCCUGCCCUGGGCUAUGGGAAAUGUGGUCAAUUCAUAUAGUACAGGGGAGAGAGAAGACAGGCUUUUUCAGGCCCUCCAUAGUUCUGGACUCUGUGACCCCAGGCAACUUACUUAACCUCUCAAGGUGUGUUGCCUUAUCUGUAAAGAAAUCUUUAUUGCCUUUAUAGGGCUUGUAAUGAGAAUUAAGUGAAAUAAGACCUAAAGCCAGCUCCUACUGGCCCAUACCAUGUGCUCGGUAAAUGGUUAUUUUCCAUCCACUCCUUCUAUUUUUAACUCUGACACAUAUUUAUUGUGUAACCUUGAGAGAGCUCUUUCAACACUUAGGCCUAAUAUCAGUCUACAUUUGUCAUUUAUUGCUUCUUUUCCCCCAUUAGCCUGUGCUUUCCCACAAUAAAUUCUAAACACCUUGAGGAUAGAACAAUAUAUUUUAUCUUUUAGGUGUUUUUAUGCCCAGUUACCUAGGAUAUGUUUAUCAUCAAGUAAGUGGUCAGGUCCUUUUUAAAUAGCUUUUCUUCAUUUCAGCUUCAUCAUUUGUCAUGCGGUGCCAAUGAUCAUGUUGCAAGAAGGGAGACCCCUUCCAGGGCCUGGGAAUGGGCUCUUGUCUAACACUUGGAAAUGAAUUGUCCAAGGAGACACACGUGCUGACAAAGCAAGAGACUUUCUUGGGAAGGGAACCCAGGAGAACUGCUCUGCCACAUUUACAGGGAUGGGGUUAUUUCUGGGUUGUCCCUGGCCAAUCUCCUUGCUUGGUCUGUACUUUUUUUUUUUUUUUGAAUUUUUAGGGCCACACUCGGCCUAUGGAAGUUCCCAGGCUAGGAACUGAA
This is a long non-coding RNA of Sus scrofa (pig), 2877 nucleotides long. RefSeq lists it as uncharacterized. The record is from RefSeq and is a predicted model, not a curated record. Lineage: Eukaryota; Metazoa; Chordata; Mammalia; Artiodactyla; Suidae.